ACAGAGAGAGACGUGGGGAAAAAAAGAAGAGAAAAACACUCGACAACACUGGCAGCUGCCGGCAGCUAGUGGCUACGGGGAAUUACAGAUUCUUGUGCAGAGAGAGACGUGGGGAAGAGAGAGUGGAGAAAACCACUCGACAACGCCGGCAGCUCCCGGCUGGUAGUGGCCACGGGGAAUUACAGUGUUAAGUAUGAGGAUAUGACCUUUGGACAUAUACAGAGAUAAACAGGAGAGAAACAGAAGGACAGCAGACUAUCUUCCCCACCUCCACAAAAGAACUGCAAUCAACAAACUACAGUGAGUUACCUAAUCCACUACCACCAACGCCUGCAGCCUGCACAGCCUGGACACUGACCUCCCUGUCUGAUUAAGUAACAGGCAUACUGCUCUCACACAUUGCUUUUUGCACCUCAUUUAUUCUAUCUACGACCACUGUGUAACAUUCUCAGCCUUUCUGUUCCUUCCAUUAUUUACCAAAAAAGCCGGUUUGCACUGUCUCUGCUUUUACAACACCCCCAUUCUCAUUGUUCAUUCUAUAUUACACCCACUCCAUUCUAUAUUAUUCCUCUGAACAACACUACUGUAAUGGGAUUAUGGCUCCUCAAUCCUGUUCCAUACCAAUCCUCACUGCUAAGUCACCCCCCCCCCCCCAAUUUCCAGACCACCCACACGCAUUCAGAACCCAGCCAACCUGAUCCCCAUCUCCCUCAUCCCCUCGCAUCCUUUCUCCUGUGCACUCUAGAACGCUAGAUCAAUCUGCAACAAGCUGCCAACUAUCCACGACCCCUUUAUCUCCCACUCUUUUAACCUUCUCGCCAUCACUGACUGAAACCUGGCUCUCCUCCUCUUACACCACCUUCCCUGCUGUCCUCUCCUAUGGAGGCCUCUUUUUCACCCACAUGGUCAGAGUGGAGGUAUGGGCAUACUUCUAUCCCCAAACUGCACCUUUCUUGUCAUCCUACCUGAGCCCUCCCUGACCUCCACCUUUGAGGUACACACUAUCCGCCUCUUCUACCCCAUUCACCUUCGUGUGGCAGUGAUCUACCGCCUCCCCUCGCUGCUGUUCACCUUUCCUUGACAACUUUGCUGCCCGGCUUCCCUACUUUCUCUCCUCUGACCUCCCCUCUAUCAUCCUCGGUGACUUUAACAUCCCUAUUGACAUCACCAAUGUGGCUUCCACUAAUCUUCUUGCCCUUUCCACCUCCUUUGGACUUUCUCAAUGGACCUCCACCUCUUCUCACAAUCUCGGCCACUCCCUCGACCUUGUCUUCACCCACCGAUAUGAUCUCUCUGAUUUCUCAAACUCUUUCUUACCCCUCUCUGACCACCAUCUGCUUUCUUUUACCCUCUCAUCUUCCCUUCUCCUCUCCACGCCCAGACCCACCAUCACCAGACGCAAUCUUGGGUCUCUCGACCCCGCUAUACUGUCCUCCCUUGAGACUUUCCUUUCUCCUCUUUCCACUAUGACGUGUCCCAACCAGGCAGCCUCCUUCUAUAACUCUUCCCUUACCACUGCUGUUGACUCUGUGGCCCCCCUCUCCUCUGUCCCCCUCCCCCGCUCCAAACCCCAACCCCAGCACACCAAACUAACACAAUUCUUAUAAAAAUGUUCACGCUCCGGAGAACGCUCCAAUCUCACUCUCUGGCGGACUUCCUCCAUUUCAAGUUUAUUCUCUCCUUACAGCUCUGCUCUUUCUCUUGCCAAGCAAUCCUUUUUCCAAGUACUCAUUUCUUCUCAGUCCUCCAGUCCACGCUGUCUUUUUGAAACUUUCAACACUCUCCUUCACCCCCCUUCCCCUCCCCUCCCAUCCUUCCUCACUGCCACUGACUUUGCCUCUUUCUUCGUCACCAAAAUUGAGGAUAUCCAACACGACAUCUCCUCCCAUCACCCCUCUGCUGCCCCCCAGCCCCUAUCAUCUUUCCCCUCCAUCUAUACCACCCUGUCCUCCUUCCGUCCCACUUCAGACAAGGAAGUCCACUUCCUCAUCUUAUCUUCCCCCCUCAACCUGCCCCCUGAACCACCUCCCCUCCCAUCUUCCUCGCUCCCUCUCCCCCACUGCCUGCUCCCACCUUACUCACCUCUUUAACCUAUCGCUCUCUAUCAGCAUCUUUUCCUCAUAUAUAGCUGUACCUGGGAAUACAUUUUAUGAAUGCAGUAAAUAUUAAAGGCUGUGCAUCAUAAAUAGUUAAAAAUUGAAUAACUACAAUAAGUUUUCUUUCGCUUGCAGCAAAAACUUAGGUUGUGUCACAAUCUUGUGUUUUGGGAAUGCAUGCCCCUCAAUUCCAGGAUGCACAACAGUAAAACCCCUUUCACACAAAAAACGAAAAUACCGACUAUCCUCCCCCUCAUAUUCGCAAUUGUCAUUGAACCCCUCGCAAAUCGCAUUUGGGUUAAUCCUGACAUCUCGGGGGUUUAUAUCAACCAUACUCAAUACACCAUCUCCCUCUUCGCCGAUGUUAUCCUUUUGACUCUAACGAACCCGACUAUUUCCCUUCCGAAUCUCUUCCGAUAACUAUCCACAUAUGGCAAUCUCUCGGGAUAUAAAAUUAACCAGACAAAAUCUGAAGCCCUCUCCUUACACAUCCCCAAACUAACUAAGUCUCAGUUACAAGAGAAUUUUAACUUUUCCUGGAGCAGACACUCGCUCAAAUAUCUAGGGGUCUUCAUCACUAAAUCUUACAGUUUCCUUUACAGGGCUAAUUAUCCCCCGCUCAUCACAUCAAUCCUUAAUGAUAUCCAUCAAUGGGAAUCUUACUUUCUCUCAUGGGUAGGACGAAUUAACUCAAUAAAACUGAACACCCUCCCCAAACUUCUAUACUUGUUCCAGACGCUUCCAAUCUCGAUACCCCCUCGGACUCUUAAUACUCUCUAAUCUUCUUUGUGCAAAUUCAUAUGGACCCAUAAAAAACCUAGAAUCCGGUGGGAUAUUUUAGCUAAACACUCUCGGAACAGCAGUCUAGGCCUUCCCAUCCUUCAGCGUUAUUAUAAUGCGACCAGGUUGAGCCAAAUGAUUGCCUGGCAUGUCCCAAAGCAUACCAAAAGAUGGGUUGACCUGGAGAGUGAUCUAAUGGUAGUCCCAUUGAUCUCUUACUUGCCUUGGCUCCCUCGAAAACAACACUCCCCACCCCACUGCCCUUCUCCCACAACAGAAUUCACACUUAAACAUUGGCAGAACCUGAACAAAAAAUUAAAAUUGUCUACCCAUCCCUCCUCUUUGACUCCCAUCUGGAGCAACCCAGCAUUUCCCCCGGGACUCUCUCAAGGAAUGGCCCACCCUUGGAUCUCGGCAGGUGUUACUAGAAUCCACCAUUUCACAGGGACACACUCCAUUAAAUUAUUAUCCAUUUUGCAAACUACAUAUGAUCUACCCAACUCCCUGUUUUAUCAAUACCUACAUAUCCGCCACUUUCACUCUUCUCUACACUUGCCAUUCCCUCUACCGGUCCCCUCACCUCUCGAGAGACUCUGCAUUUACAAUUCUACUGACAAGGGCACUAUCUCUCUUCUCUACAAAAAUACCCUCAACCCUGAACCUCCCCCUCUUGAACCGCAUGAGCUAGCAUGGGAAGCGGAUCUAGGGUAUCACCUUGGGGAGGAAGUUGGGACACAAUCCACACUGCGAUCUCACAAUACUCCAUCAGCGUAGCCAUUCAUGAAAACUCAUACAAAAUAUACACAAGAUGGUAUUUGGUACCGGAUCGGUUGCAUAGGAUCUAUCCUGAUACCUCCAACCUUUGCUAGAGGAACUGCGGUCAAGUAGGCACGUUUUAUCAUAUUUGGUGGACCUGCCCGGUGAUUGCUCAAUAUUGGGCGAUGGUCCGCAAGCUCCUCUCUCAAUUAAUUGAUUUGCCAGCGCCUCUUUCACCCACGAACCUCCUCCUUUGCACACCACCCAAUUAAAUUUCUAAAGACUCGAAAAACCUGAUCCUUUUUAUCUCUUGCGCAGCUAAAUUUCAAAAUAGCACGUAAUUGGAAGAAUCCCGAAGCUCCCAACCGCCAGGCAUUUACGAAUAGAAUCUGGUUUGUCGCAAACAUGGAGUAUAUGACCAGUCUCCGCCAAAACAGUACAAAAAUUCCACUCUAUCUGGCUCCCCUGGUACAUAUACCAUGACCACCCCCUUCCUGGAUUAAACUAAUUAUAGACUCAGCUCUAUAACUAUUAUACCUCCCCCUACACCCCCCCUCCUUUUUUUUCUCUCUCUUCCUCCCCCUCCCCUCAUUCCCUCUCUGCCUCUCAGACCCCCGACUCUUCGGAGAACCUCUUCUUUUUCUUUAUUUUCUUCUCUCUUCUAUAUUACUUGAUCUCUCUUUUCUGUUCCUCCCUUCCUACAUACUUUUCCUAUCUGCCCCGCCAAAUAUUUCCUGUCUCUAUUAUAGCUCGGAACCCCACGACCCCACUCCCUUUUUCUGUUCUCGUAUCUUCCUACCCCCUGAAAAUGUCUUACUAUAUAAGUCUCUAGUCUCUAUGUAUGAUGUUAAUACUUUACAUGUUCUUUCUUUUUUAUUACAUUCUUGGAGAAAUGUUAUAUGUCU
Pseudophryne corroboree (corroboree frog) is the source of this 4537-nucleotide long non-coding RNA. RefSeq lists it as uncharacterized. The transcript has 3 exons. Lineage: Eukaryota; Metazoa; Chordata; Amphibia; Anura; Myobatrachidae. The record is from RefSeq and is a predicted model, not a curated record.